Molecule: ribosomal RNA, 503 nt
Filed under: uncultured bacterium
Lineage: Bacteria
Description: partial 16S ribosomal RNA
Rfam family: Bacterial small subunit ribosomal RNA
Source: RNAcentral
AUUGAACGCUGGCGGCAGGCUUAACACAUGCAAGUCGAGCGGGGUGAUGGUGCUUGCACUAUCACUUAGCGGCGGACGGGUGAGUAAUGCUUAGGAAUCUGCCUAUUAGUGGGGGACAACAUCUCGAAAGGGAUGCUAAUACCGCAUACGUCCUACGGGAGAAAGCAGGGGAUCACUUGUGACCUUGCGCUAAUAGAUGAGCCUAAGUCGGAUUAGCUAGUUGGUGGGGUAAAGGCCUACCAAGGCGACGAUCUGUAGCGGGUCUGAGAGGAUGAUCCGACACACUGGGACUGAGACACGGCCCAGACUCCUACGGGAGGAAGCAGUGGGGAAUAUUGGACAAUGGGGGGAACCCUGAUCCAGCCAUGCCGCGUGUGUGAAGAAGGCCUUAUGGUUGUAAAGCACUUUAAGCGAGGAGGAGGCUCUUUUGGUUAAUACCCAAGAUGAGUGGACGUUACUCGCAGAAUAAGCACCGGCUAACUCUGUGCCAGCAGCCGCGGUAA